UACUUUGCGAACACUCGAACUGGAUAAUUGGGGGAAUUCUGCGACUAAUACAAUUCGCUCGCUGGGGUAUCCGGCUCUCGACCAACCGCCUUGUGCGUCUUGUGUUGAAUCACGGAUUCCCUUCGUCGAUUCUAUCGACACGCAAAAUGGAUUUCUGCCCUAUCAACUAGACGGUUGGCUCUGGGCCUACCGUGGUUACAACGGGUGACGGGGAAUGAGGGUUCGACCCCGGAGAGGGAGCCUGAGAGACGGCUACCACAUCUAAGGAAGGCAGCAGGCGCGCAAAUUACCCAAUUCCUACUUGGGAGAGGUAGUGACAAGAUAUAACAAUAUCGGGCUCUAAGAGU
This 347-nucleotide ribosomal RNA is filed under the name Caulerpa sertularioides. Its description in RNAcentral is "bacterial SSU rRNA". It matches the Rfam family "Eukaryotic small subunit ribosomal RNA", at positions 118 to 501 of the family's 1831-position model. The record is from RNAcentral. Lineage: Eukaryota; Viridiplantae; Chlorophyta; Ulvophyceae; Bryopsidales; Caulerpaceae.